UACUGCCAGUUUUCUUCACCGUUUGCCUCACAGUUCGCUCAUCUCCAGAUACUAUCACCAUGACUUCGUACACUCAAGGUAGAAGAUAAGUGUCGCCCGUCUCGUAACAGAUCACCGAACAU
RNAcentral lists this unclassified non-coding RNA (122 nucleotides) under Haliotis rubra (blacklip abalone). RNAcentral's name for it is "uncharacterized LOC124285037, transcript variant X3". The record is from RNAcentral. Lineage: Eukaryota; Metazoa; Mollusca; Gastropoda; Lepetellida; Haliotidae.